RNAcentral lists this unclassified non-coding RNA (369 nucleotides) under Hevea brasiliensis (rubber tree). Lineage: Eukaryota; Viridiplantae; Streptophyta; Magnoliopsida; Malpighiales; Euphorbiaceae. The record is from RNAcentral.
GGACAUCAAACAUAAGUUAAGGGAGCAGCUAUGAAUAGACACAAUUUAUCAAAGCUCGACACUGAUUGUGGAAAUGAUUAUCAAUUACUGGUUUUGUUGAAAUAUAUUUUUGGAAUUUAGAAGUCAGCCUUUUGGUUUGCGUUGGGACAAUUGUCUAAUGUGAAGUAAAAGUCUUGGGUUAACUUGAAGCCAAUAGUGGCAAGUUUACACCUGGUAGCAGCUCUAUGCAAAAAUGUUUUCCUUUGGAAGAACCAUGACUGGGUAUUGCAUGUUUUAGUGUUUAUAGGUGCAUAAGUUAGGACCUUGGUAUUUUUUAGUUUAUCCUUUUAUUAGACCAUUGGUUAUGUGGUACCCCAUUGUUCCCAUUGA